This 440-nucleotide ribosomal RNA is filed under the name uncultured bacterium. Its description in RNAcentral is "partial 16S ribosomal RNA". It matches the Rfam family "Bacterial small subunit ribosomal RNA", at positions 338 to 795 of the family's 1533-position model. The record is from RNAcentral.
CCUACGGGUGGCAGCAGUAGGGAAUAUUGCUCAAUGGGCGAAACUCUGAAGCAGCAACGCCGCGUGGAGGAUGAAGGCUUUCGGAUUGUUAACUCCUUUUGUUAUAGAAGAUAAUGACGGUAUCUAACGAAUAAGCACCGGCUAACUCCGUGCCAGCAGCCGCGGUAAUACGGAGGGUGCAAGCGUUACUCGGAAUCACUGGGCGUAAAGGGAGCGUAGGCGGGAUAGCAAGUCAGAUGUGAAAUCCUAGGGCUUAACCAUAGAACUGCAUUUGAAACUGUUAUUCUAGAGUAUGGGAGAGGUAGGUGGAAUGCUUGGUGUAGGGGUAAAAUGCGUAGAGAUCAAGAGGAAUACUCAUUGCGAAGGCGACCUGCUAGAACAUAACUGACGCUGAUGCGCGAAAGCGUGGGGAGCAAACAGGAUUAGAUACCCGGGUAGUC